This 492-nucleotide ribosomal RNA is filed under the name uncultured bacterium. RNAcentral describes it as "partial 16S ribosomal RNA". It matches the Rfam family "Bacterial small subunit ribosomal RNA", at positions 29 to 507 of the family's 1533-position model. The record is from RNAcentral.
AGUGAACGCUGGCGGUAGGCCUAACACAUGCAAGUCGAACGGCAGCACAGUAAGAGCUUGCUCUUACGGGUGGCGAGUGGCGGACGGGUGAGGAAUACAUCGGCAUCUACUUUUUCGUGGGGGAUAACGUAGGGAAACUUACGCUAAUACCGCAUACGACCUACGGGUGAAAGCAGGGGAUCUUCGGACCUUGCGCGAUUGAAUGAGCCGAUGUCGGAUUAGCUAGUUGGCGGGGUAAAGGCCCACCAAGGCGACGAUCCGUAGCUGGUCUGAGAGGAUGAUCAGCCACGCUGGAACUGAGACACGGUCCAGACUCCUACGGGAGGCAGCAGUGGGGAAUAUUGGACAAUGGGCGCAAGCCUGAUCCAGCCAUACCGCGUGGGUGAAGAAGGCCUUCGGGUUGUAAAGCCCUUUUGUUGGGAAAGAAAAGCAGCAGGUUAAUACCCCGCUGUUCUGACGGUACCCAAAGAAUAGGCACCGGCUAACUUCGUG